Molecule: transfer RNA, 87 nt
Filed under: Clostridiales bacterium
Lineage: Bacteria; Bacillati; Bacillota; Clostridia; Eubacteriales
Also listed under: 1 other name
Description: tRNA-Leu
Rfam family: tRNA
About the family: Transfer RNA (tRNA) molecules are approximately 80 nucleotides in length. Their secondary structure includes four short double-helical elements and three loops (D, anti-codon, and T loops).
Source: RNAcentral
GCGAGAAUGGCGGAAUUGGCAGACGCGCUAGCUUCAGGUGCUAGUGUUCGCAAGGACGUGCAGGUUCAAGUCCUGUUUCUCGCACCA